RNAcentral lists this ribosomal RNA (464 nucleotides) under uncultured bacterium. RNAcentral's name for it is "partial 16S ribosomal RNA". It matches the Rfam family "Bacterial small subunit ribosomal RNA", at positions 28 to 507 of the family's 1533-position model. The record is from RNAcentral.
GACGAACGCUGGCGGCGUGCUUAACACAUGCAAGUCGAACGGAAAGGCCCAGCUUGCUGGGUGCUCGAGUGGCGAACGGGUGAGUAACACGUGGGUGAUCUGCCCCUAACCUCGGGAUAAGCUUGGGAAACUGGGUCUAAUACCGGAUAGGACAAUCGUUUAGUGUCGGUUGUGGAAAGUUUUUUCGGUUAGGGAUGAGCCCGCGGCCUAUCAGCUUGUUGGUGGGGUAAUGGCCUACCAAGGCGUCGACGGGUAGCCGGCCUGAGAGGGUGGACGGCCACAUUGGGACUGAGAUACGGCCCAGACUCCUACGGGAGGCAGCAGUGGGGAAUAUUGCACAAUGGGCGCAAGCCUGAUGCAGCGACGCCGCGUGGGGGAUGACGGCCUUCGGGUUGUAAACCUCUUUCGACAGGGACGAAGCUUUGGUGACGGUACCUGUAUAAGAAGCACCGGCUAACUACGUG